This 253-nucleotide ribosomal RNA is filed under the name uncultured bacterium. RNAcentral describes it as "partial 16S ribosomal RNA". It matches the Rfam family "Bacterial small subunit ribosomal RNA", at positions 524 to 776 of the family's 1533-position model. The record is from RNAcentral.
UACGUAGGGGGCUAGCGUUGUCCGGAAUCAUUGGGCGUAAAGCGCGUGUAGGCGGCUCGAUAAGUCCGCUGUGAAAGUCGGGGGCUCAACCCUCGAAUGCCGGUGGAUACUGUCGGGCUAGAGUGCGGAAGAGGCGAGUGGAAUUCCUGGUGUAGCGGUGAAAUGCGCAGAUAUCAGGAGGAACACCAAUUGCGAAGGCAGCUCGCUGGGACGUAACUGACGCUGAGACGCGAAAGCGUGGGGAGCAAACAGG